RNAcentral lists this ribosomal RNA (370 nucleotides) under uncultured organism. RNAcentral describes it as "bacterial SSU rRNA". It matches the Rfam family "Bacterial small subunit ribosomal RNA", at positions 527 to 896 of the family's 1533-position model. The record is from RNAcentral.
GAAGGGUGCAAGCGUUACUCGGAAUUACUGGGCUAAAGCGUGCGUAGGUGGUUCGUUAAGUCUGAUGUGAAAGCCCUGGGCUCAACCUGGGAAUGGCAUUGGAUACUGGCGACCUAGAGUGCGGUAGAGGGUAGUGGAAUUCCCGGUGUAGCAGUGAAAUGCGUAGAUAUCGGGAGGAACAUCUGUGGCGAAGGCGACUACCUGGACCAGCACUGACACUGAGGCACGAAAGCGUGGGGAGCAAACAGGAUUAGAUACCCUGGUAGUCCACGCCCUAAACGAUGCGAACUGGAUGUUGGGUGCAACUUGGCACUCAGUAUCGAAGCUAACGCGUUAAGUUCGCCGCCUGGGAAGUACGGUCGCAAGACUG